AGGACGAACGCUGGCGGCGUGCUUAACACAUGCAAGUGGAGCGACGAACCAGGGCUUGCCCUGGGGCAGAGCCGCGAACGGGUGAGUAACACGUGGGUUACCUGCCUCGAUGACCGGGACAACCCGAGGAAACUCGGGCUAAUACCGGAUGUGCCCGCAAGGGGAAAGGAAGCUUCGGCCUCCGCAUCGAGAUGGGCCCGCGGCCCAUUAGCUUGUUGGUGAGGUAACGGCUCACCAAGGCUUCGAUGGGUAGCUGGUCUGAGAGGACGAUCAGCCACACUGGGACUGAGACACGGCCCAGACUCCUACGGGAGGCAGCAGUAGGGAAUCUUGCGCAAUGGGCGAAAGCCUGACGCAGCGACGCCGCGUGCGGGAUGAAGGCCUUCGGGUUGUAAACCGCUUUCAGCGAGGGACGAAAUUGACGGUACCUGCAGAAGAAGCCCCGGCCAACUACGUGCCAGCAGCCGC
RNAcentral lists this ribosomal RNA (468 nucleotides) under uncultured bacterium. Its description in RNAcentral is "SSU rRNA". It matches the Rfam family "Bacterial small subunit ribosomal RNA", at positions 26 to 518 of the family's 1533-position model. The record is from RNAcentral.